CUUGCGGGGGUGAUUAGUGGCGAACGGGUGAGUAAUACGUGAGUAACCUGCCCUUGACUCUGGGAUAAGCCUGGGAAACCGGGUCUAAUACUGGAUACGACCUCCUGUCGCAUGGUGGGGGGUGGAAAGGGUUUGACUGGUUUUGGAUGGGCUCACGGCCUAUCAGCUUGUUGGUGGGGUAAUGGCUCACCAAGGCGACGACGGGUAGCCGGCCUGAGAGGGUGACCGGCCACACUGGGACUGAGACACGGCCCAACUCCUACGGGAGGCACAUUGGGGAAUAUUGCACAAUGGGCGGAAGCCUGAUGCACCGACCCCGCGUGAGGGAUGACGGCCUUCGGGUUGAACCCUCUUUCCCAGGGAAAAAACCGGUGAGGAACCUGCAAAAACCGCCGGUAAU
RNAcentral lists this ribosomal RNA (400 nucleotides) under Kocuria sp. M9. RNAcentral's name for it is "bacterial SSU rRNA". It matches the Rfam family "Bacterial small subunit ribosomal RNA", at positions 79 to 481 of the family's 1533-position model. The record is from RNAcentral. Lineage: Bacteria; Bacillati; Actinomycetota; Actinomycetes; Micrococcales; Micrococcaceae.